AGGCCUGUAAAGCUGCUGAAGACGACAACAGAACACGACAACAGUGACGACAAGCCGGCUGUCUGAUCGCACUGACCCAUCAGUUCAGCAAAGCCGCCCAGAGGAAGCCGGCAGGUUCCAGUCACAAACUGCAUGAGGCGCAGUCGCACCUCAUUAUCCACCUCCUUCACCAGCUGAAAGCAGAAGAUGGACGGAAAACAGGACUUCAAAAACACACACACACACACACAUACAAGCCUUCAAAGGUGUGUGAACAGUCCUGCAGGUCCACCUCCUGCAUCCCACACAGCAUCACCUGCAGCGAGCAAACACAUCCAGGAGGAGAGGAAACGUCUUUGAUGAUCCUCCACAGUUUAUGGCAAAUAGAAUUACUGGAGCCACUGAAGUGGAACCACCUCGUUAAAGCCGUCCAGGAAGGCUUUGGUCUGACCUUCAACCCCGCGGGAGAACCUCCACUCUGCCAUUUGACUGCAGAGACACACCAAACCACAUUCAGACUCCAAACUCAUCUUCAGCUGUUAGGUCUUGGACCAUGAACCAAACCUGAUGUACUCCUCCUUGUUCUCCUCAGUCACUUGGAUGUUGGCGCCGUCAGGUUUGAGGUCGUGAGACGUGAUCUUCCCCAAGAUCUCCAUGUCGACUGAGAAAAACAUCUCCAGCCCACAUUCCUCAAUGUUGUUGUCCCUGAAAGACGAUGACAUUUCGUUUCUUAUACGCACUGGUGAACAGAAAUCAGUAGAUCCUCUGCAUCCAGGUUUAAUAGCACUUUUCCUGUUUCCAACAUGUGGUAUUCCUAUUGAUCUUUAAUGGAGAACGUGCUGUGCAGAGUGAACUAACACUGUUGUGAGCAAAAACAUUCCAAAUCCCCCAACGUAUCAGAACUGAUACCAUCUUUAUUUCGUUAAAAAAUUAGAUUGCAAUAUUUUAUAUGGAUUUCAUCAAAGAGUUUCAAAAACAUCUCAACUACUAAACACCUGAAUUUUCUGUCAAUUCUUUGAUGUAGUAAAUUAAAAUGAUAAACUGGUGAGACGUUUAGAUUUUACUGUAGUCUUAUGAAUUACUGUGGAAUGAUUAGCACGUCAACACAAACUCAGACCACUUUGACAAAGUGCUGAUGAGCAAACAUGAAAAAAACUCAACAUGUCAGAUAAAAAUUCAAAGUUUUAGGAUCAUGAAAAUGUUCCCAAACAUACAGUAUUUUCAUUUUGUAUUUUCUUCUAGAGCCGUGUUUUUCAACCUCUUUUGAGCCAAGGCACUCUUUAUCCUGCGGCACACCAGCAUCCAAAGAUUGAAUAAAAGAGAAACUCAUA
Molecule: long non-coding RNA, 1310 nt
Organism: Oryzias latipes (Japanese medaka)
Lineage: Eukaryota; Metazoa; Chordata; Actinopteri; Beloniformes; Adrianichthyidae
Source: RefSeq, a predicted model, not a curated record